This 175-nucleotide unclassified non-coding RNA is filed under the name uncultured Staphylotrichum. Its description in RNAcentral is "sequence contains ITS1". The record is from RNAcentral. Lineage: Eukaryota; Fungi; Ascomycota.
CAGAGUCGCAAUACUCCGUAAACCAUUGUGAACGUUACCUUAACCGUUGCUUCGGCGGGCGGCGCCCGGGCCUCACCGCCCGCGGCGCCCCCAGGCCCCCCGUGGGCGCCCGCCGGAGGUACACCAAACUCUUGCAUUGUAUGGCCUCUCUGAGUAUUCUGUACUGAAUAAGUCA